CAGGACAAACGCUGGCGGCGUGCCUAACACAUGCAAGUCGAACGAAGCACUGUGGAAAGAGACUCGGUCAAUUGAAACUUGACUUAGUGGCGGACGGGUGAGUAAUGCAUGAGCAACCUGCCCUGGAGAGGGGGACAACAGCUGGAAACGGCUGCUAAUACCGCAUGAUGUUGCGGGGAGGCAUCUUCCUGCAACCAAAGAUUUAUCGCUCUGGGAUGGGCUCAUGUCUGAUUAGAUAGUUGGCGGGGCAACGGCCCACCAAGUCUGCGAUCAGUAGCCGGACUGAGAGGUUGAACGGCCACAUUGGGACUGAGAUACGGCCCAGACUCCUACGGGAGGCAGCAGUGGGGAAUAUUGGGCAAUGGGCGCAAGCCCUGACCCAGCAACGCCGCGUGAAGGAAGAAGGCUUUCGGGUUGUAAACUUCUUUUAUCAGGGACGAAGAACGUGACGGUACCUGAUGAAUAAGCCACGGCUAACUACGUGCCAGCCGCGGC
This 495-nucleotide ribosomal RNA is filed under the name uncultured bacterium. RNAcentral's name for it is "bacterial SSU rRNA". It matches the Rfam family "Bacterial small subunit ribosomal RNA", at positions 25 to 518 of the family's 1533-position model. The record is from RNAcentral.